RNAcentral lists this long non-coding RNA (210 nucleotides) under Lathyrus oleraceus (garden pea). Its description in RNAcentral is "Pisum sativum (pea) long non-coding RNA (PSAT_LNC041839)". Lineage: Eukaryota; Viridiplantae; Streptophyta; Magnoliopsida; Fabales; Fabaceae. The record is from RNAcentral.
CAUUUAUUUUCUUUACUUUCAAUUUCUUUUCUUUUUUCAAUUAUUUUUUUAGCCAAAUAUUUUGUAAAUACUUUACAUCAAACAUUUAUUUUAUUUUCCGAUUAAUCAUUUAUUUUUUAUCAUCUUUAAUUAUGCCAUUUUUACCCUUGUGUUUGAUUAUGGUUGAUGACAAAUCUAUUUAUCAUGGUACUUGAUAUUAGGGUUGACUUA